Transfer RNA from Camelus ferus (Wild Bactrian camel), 73 nucleotides. It matches the Rfam family "tRNA". Rfam says of the family: Transfer RNA (tRNA) molecules are approximately 80 nucleotides in length. Their secondary structure includes four short double-helical elements and three loops (D, anti-codon, and T loops). Further hydrogen bonds mediate the characteristic L-shaped molecular structure. tRNAs have two regions of fundamental functional importance: the anti-codon, which is responsible for specific mRNA codon recognition, and the 3' end, to which the tRNAs corresponding amino acid is attached (by aminoacyl-tRNA synthetases). tRNAs cope with the degeneracy of the genetic code in two manners: having more than one tRNA (with a specific anti-codon) for a particular amino acid; and 'wobble' base-pairing, i.e. permitting non-standard base-pairing at the 3rd anti-codon position. The record is from Rfam. Lineage: Eukaryota; Metazoa; Chordata; Mammalia; Artiodactyla; Camelidae.
GAGGGUAUAGCUCCAGUGAUAGAGCACAUGCCUAGCAUGCAUGAGGUCCUGGGUUCAAUCCCCAGUACCGCCA